Long non-coding RNA from Actinia tenebrosa (Australian red waratah sea anemone), 781 nucleotides. The record is from RefSeq and is a predicted model, not a curated record. Lineage: Eukaryota; Metazoa; Cnidaria; Anthozoa; Actiniaria; Actiniidae.
GUUUUGCAACUUGACUAGUCAUUUAAAAUCAAUUGUUGAUUAUCACAACAAAUAUGGUAAUAUUUCGUCACGUGAUCACUAAAAAUAAAUGAUUACACUUUCAAACUGUAGCCAGUACCGAAACCUAUUAUCUUGGCAAAAAUCAUCAGCAUACACCCAUUUGAUAUCUUUAUAUAAAUUUUUCUUUAUUUUUUUGCUAUAUUACUCAAUCAGCCAUGCCUUAGACAUGCUGAGUUCGGAAAAAAAAUGAUUCAUUAAAGCUCACAAGAAAUUGCUUGAAUAACUGAGAAAUCGUAGAAUCAGUUAUUAUUCUAUUGACCAUUUGUGCUUUUAAUUAUAUUGAUAAAUUUUAGCCCAGAACAUUUUAAGAAUGAUAGACGGGUAUCACGACCACUUUCAAAAAAAAAAACGCUUAGGGAAGCACCAUUAGAUUUUUUGACCAAAAAGAGAAAUAUCUCUGAAUUAUACGGCAAGUAACGGUUCAAAGUGUCCUUAAAUGAUACAUUAUUUUCUUAGGAGAACGCAAGGUGUCAAAAGGAUAUUAUGAAAGGAUACAAGAAUAAUAUUAUGAAACAAUUUUCCUAUCCAGUCAUCCCACCAAGAUGUUAUUGUUGCUUUUAUUAGUAUGUUUGACCUUGGUAUAUCAAGGGACCAGAAAUAUAUACGAGGACAAGCUCCAAUUCACCCUUCACAGUUGGCUUUCAUUGAUAAAGGCCCAACACUCAGUCAGUGCAUGCGCACCUGAAAAACUGACAAGAUUAUUAAGGUAAGAGACCCAUUA